This 1338-nucleotide ribosomal RNA is filed under the name Henneguya salminicola. RNAcentral's name for it is "SSU rRNA". It matches the Rfam family "Eukaryotic small subunit ribosomal RNA", at positions 51 to 1226 of the family's 1831-position model. The record is from RNAcentral. Lineage: Eukaryota; Metazoa; Cnidaria; Myxozoa; Bivalvulida; Myxobolidae.
AUGCAGGUGCUACAGUACAUACGUGAAUUCGUGAGACUGCGGAAGGCUCAGUAAAUCAUUUAUCAUCUAUUUGAUUGUCUAGCCCAUUGGAUAACCGUGGGAAAUCUAGAGCUAAUACAUGUAGUUAAUUGGUGGUGUACUAUUUAUAUUGGACCACCAAUGCAUUUAUUACAUGAAGCCAACUGCUUGUUGGGGGUGCAAAUCUCCAACUUGUAAGGUGAGUCUAGAUAACUGUGCAGAUCGUAUGGCCUUGUGCUGACGACGUUUCAAUUGAAUUUCUGCCCUAUCAACUAGUUGGUAAGGUAGAUGCUAACCAAGGUUGUGACGGGUAACGGGGAAUCAGGGUUCGAUUCCGGAGAGGGAGCUUGAGAAUUGGCUACCACAUCCAAGGAAGGCAGCAGGCGCGCAAAUUACCCAAUUCAGACAGUGAGAGGUGGUGACGAGAAUUACCAAGUGGUGACCAUAAGGUUGCCAAUUUGGAAUGAACGUAAUUUAAGAAAUUCGAUGAGUAACAACUGGAGGGCAAGUCCGGUGCCAGCACCCGCGGUAAUUCCGGCUCCAGUAGCGUAUUUUAAAAUUGUUGCGCUUAAAACGCUCGUGUUGGAUGACACAGUCAUGAUCAGUUGAUUGUCAUGGUUAUACAUUAAACUUUGACUCUCUACUGUAGAUGUCUAACGACGUAUAUGGUGUUGAGUUGAAAGUAUAACUAUGGCAAUUGUGUGCUGAAUGUGACUAGUUGCACGUGAGGAUGAUGGUUGACCUUUAGUGCGUUGACUGUUAUGUCUCACGGAGUGUGCCUUGAAUAAAUCAGAGUGCUCAAAGCAGGCUUUAAGCUUGAAUGUUAAUAGCAUGGAACGAACAAACGUGUUUAUGUAUAAUAUAAUUGAUUUUGAUUUGUCUAUGAUAGAUUAUUGUGUUUUUGUGUUGUACUGCACCAACCACCAAUAACGGACGUUGGUUCCGUAUUGGGGUGAUGAUUAAAAAGAGCGGUUGGGGGCAUUGGUAUUUGUCCGCGAGAGGUGAAAUUCUUGGACCGGACAAGGACUAACAAAUGCGAAGGCAUUUGCCUAGACCGUCUCUAUUAAUCAAGAACGAUAGAGGAAGGAUCGAAGAGGAUCAGAUACCCUCGUAGUUUCCUCCGUAAACUAUGCCAACCCGGGAUGAGUUUAGAGCUAAUUAUAACGCUCUAGGUAUGGUCCCCCUGGGAAACCUGAAGUUUUUCGGUUGCGGGGGGAGUAUGGUUGCAAAGCUGAAACUUAAAGGAAUUGACGGAAGGGCACCACCAGGAGUGGAGCCUGCGGCUUAAUUUGACUCAACACGGGAAAUUUACCUGGGUGA